RNAcentral lists this ribosomal RNA (195 nucleotides) under Pomacanthus paru (French angelfish). RNAcentral describes it as "partial large subunit ribosomal RNA". The record is from RNAcentral. Lineage: Eukaryota; Metazoa; Chordata; Actinopteri; Pomacanthidae.
AUGAAGACCUGUAUGAAUGGCAUAACGAGGGCUUAACUGUCUCUUCUUUCAAGUCAAUGAAAUUGAUCUCCCCGUGCAGAAGCGGGGAUACUCACAUAAGACGAGAAGACCCUGUGGAGCUUUAGACACCAAGGCAGAUUAUUGUCAGCUACCCCAAGCUAAAGGAUUGAACCAAUUAAACCCUGCCCUAAUGUC